Molecule: long non-coding RNA, 226 nt
Filed under: Lathyrus oleraceus (garden pea)
Lineage: Eukaryota; Viridiplantae; Streptophyta; Magnoliopsida; Fabales; Fabaceae
Description: Pisum sativum (pea) long non-coding RNA (PSAT_LNC009242)
Source: RNAcentral
UUACAUGUUCAAAAUUGUUUUGAUAGUUGUAAUCGCAUAGUUUUUUAUUGUAGUUGUUUUAAUUGUUUGUGUUAUUUUUUAUGAACAACUGUCUUUUCGUCACAGACGUCUACUAUGAAGUAAAAUUAAUUUUCCAUAUAUUGCAACAGAGGUACUUUGAAAUAAAUUUAAGUUUCCAUAUAUAGCAACAGAGGUACAUCUGAAUUUAUCUGGUUGUGCUCGUUCC